Molecule: long non-coding RNA, 3495 nt
Filed under: Salmo salar (Atlantic salmon)
Lineage: Eukaryota; Metazoa; Chordata; Actinopteri; Salmoniformes; Salmonidae
Description: lncRNA (ENSSSAG00000082715.1, ENSSSAG00000115018.1)
Source: RNAcentral
UCUCGCUCCCGAGGGCGUAUGAUGGGACGGCUGCCAGGGGUUCCUGCUCCAGUUGGAGCUCUACCUGGCGACCGUCCACCCGGCUCCCUCGGGAUACGAGAGCGUGUCCGCCCUCAUCUCCUGUUUGUCGGGGAGAGCACUUGAGUGGGCCAAUGCCGUAUGGGGGAUAGAAGGCACAGCGUUGGUCCACUACGAGGAUUUCACCCACCGCUUCCGGGCGGUAUUCGAUCAUCCACCUGAGGGGAGAGCGGCGGGGGAAUAGUUGUUCCAUCUUCGACAGGGGAUGAGGAGCGCACUGGACUUCAGGACCCUGGCAGCCAGCGCGGGACGGAAUGAAGGGGCCCUGAUCGACCAUUACCGGUGCGGUCUACGUGAGGACAUUCGUCGGGAGCUGGCAUGCAGGGACACCACCCUUACCCUCGACCAGCUGGUUGAUUUAUCCAUCUGGCUGGAUAACCUAUUGGCCACCUGCGGACGUCCGGAUCGGGGCUCGUCCAUUCCAUCCCCCAGCACCUCCGACCCUACACCUAUGGAGCUCGGAGGUGCUGCUCUGAGGGUGACCGGAGGGGGGGCCGUUUCCUGCACCACAUGUGGCCACAGAGGGCACACUGCUGAUCGGUGCUGGGGAGGUUCCCCAGGGAGUCGAGGCAGCAGGCAGGGCACUGGUGGAUCAUCCCAGGUGAGUAGGCACCCGACUCACCCAGAGCUUCCUGUUGCGCACGUGUGUGUAUAGAAUUUCCUGAGUUUUCCCUGCAUUCCCAGCAUAAAGCGCUAGUAGAUUCAGGUGCAGUUGGGAACUUUAUUGACCGUUCAUUUGCACUUAGAUUAGGGAUCCCUAUUGUUCCUGAUGAUGUGCCCUUCCCUGUACAUGCCUUAGAUAGUCGUCCGUUAGGGUCGGGGCUGAUUAGGGAGGUCACAGCUCCCCUAUGUAUGAUAACGCAGGAGGGUCAUGAGGAGAGAAUUAGUCUCUUCCUGAUCGAUUCUCCUGCGUUUCCUGUGGUGUUGGGCCUUCCCUGGUUGACCUAUCAUGACCCCAAUAUUUCGUAGCAACAGAGGCCUCUCAAGGGAUGGUCACGUUAGUGCUCAGGGAGGUGUGUACCGUAGGUGUUGCCAUAGGUGCAACUACAGUGGAGAGUCCAAACCAGGUCUCCACCAUGCACAUCCCCCCUGAAUAUGCCGAUUUGGCUCUCGCCUUCUGUAAGAAGACUCAACUACCACCCCAUCGACGGGGGCAUUGUGCGAUAAAUCUCCUGGUAGACGCAGCACUUCCCAGGAGUCACGUGUAUCCUCUGUCACAGGAGGAGACGGUGGCUAUGGAAACAUAUGUCUCCGAAUCUCUAGGACAGGGAUACAUUCGGCCUUCCACUUCACCUGCCUCCUCAAGUUUAUUUUUUGUGAAGAAGAUAGAUGAAGGUUUACGCCCGUGUAUUGACUAUCGAGGUAUAAAUCAGAUCACGGUGAAGUACAGUUACCCGCUGCCACUCAUAGCCAGUGUGACAGACAUUGCACGGGGCGCGCUUCUUCACAAAAUUGGAUCUCAGGAGCGCUUACAACCUGGUGUUUAUCCGGGAAGGGGAUGAGUGGAAGACGGCAUUUAGUACCACCUCUGGGCACUAUGAGUACCUCGUCAUACCGUACGGGUUGAUGAAUGCUCCAUCAGUAUUCCAAUCCUUUGUAGAUGAGAUUUUCAGGGACCUGCACGGGCAGGGCGUAGUGGUGUAUAUAGAUGACAUUCUAAUGUACCCCGCUACACGCGCCGAGCAUGUGUCCCUGGUGUGCAGGGUGCUUGGUCGACUGUUGGAGCAUGACCUGUACGUCAAGGCUGAGAAAUGUCUGUUCUUCCAACAGUCCGUCUCCUUCCUAGGGUACCGCCUUUCCGCGUCAGGAGUGGAGAUGGAACAUGACCGCAUUGCAGCCGUGCGUAAUUGGCCGACUCCAACCACGGUAAAGGAGGUGCAGCGGUUCUUAGGGUUUGCCAACUACUACCGGAGGUUUAUCUGAGGCUUUGGUCAGGUAGCGGCUCCCAUUACCUCCUUGUUGAAGGGGGGACUGGUGCGACUGCAGUGGUCAGCUGGGGCGGACAGGGCUUUUGGUCACCUGAAGGCUCUGUUUACCUCGGCUCCCGUGCUGGCUCAUCCUGAUCCCUCCUUGGCAUUUAUAGUAGAGGUGGACGCGUCUGAGGCUGGGAUAGGAGCUGUGCUGUCUCGGUGCUCAGGUACGCCACCAAAGCUCCGCCCCUGUGCUUUCUUUUCGAAGAAACUCAGCCCGGCGGAGCGAAACUAUGAUGUGGGGCUCUGAAGGCUCUGAAGGCGUGGAGACAUUGGCUUGAGGGGGCUAAACACCCUUUCCUCAUCUGGACUGACCACUGCAAUCUGGAGUACAUCCGGGUGACGAGGAGACUGAACCCUCGCCAGGCAAGGUGGGCCAUGUUUUUCACCUGUUUUGUUUUCACCCUAUCCUACAGACCAGGUUCCCAGAACGCUAAGGCAGACGCACUGUCCCGGAUGUAUGACACAGAGGAGCGGUCCACGGAUCCCACUCCCAUACUUCCGGCUUCUUGCCUGGUGGCACCGGUGGUAUGGGAGGUAAACGCGGACAUCGAGCGGGCGUUACGUACAGAGCCCACUCCCACCCAGUGUCCAGUUGGGCGUCUGUAUGUUCCGUCUGCUGUCCGCGAUCGUUUGAUCUGUUGGGACCACACGUCACCCUCCUCUGGUCAUCCUGGCAAUGACGCUGUCAGUGUGAUCAAGGCGAUAAUAUUAUGGCUAGAUCGAUGCACUGCAUUCACGCAAAUGCUGCACCGUUCAUGCUCAAAUGUAAAGCAUUUUGAAGGAUAACUAAUAUAUCAGAAAAAACUAUCUGCAACUAGAGUGGAACCACCAAAGCACUCUUGGUGUUUUUAUGAUUUUGAUUGGAACAUAAAUGCUAUCUCAAUGCACAAGUAAUAACAUAUAUUUAUUUAAAUACAAAAACAUACAUGGCCUAGCUACAUACAUACAUACAUACAUACAUACAUACAUACAUACAUACAUACAUACAUACAUACAUACAUACAUACAUACAUACAUCUUAAAAACAACAGAAAAUAGCAGCAGAAAUUGUUUCAAAAGCAGCCACUUCCUUCACUUAAUCUCUUCUUCCAAGGCUCCUGGAGCUCUUCAUACCUGAUGUUAUGGCUGCUGCAACAACAGGAUAGAACAGAAUCUGGUGUUGAGGUGAAUGCUGUGAGGAAGAGCCGUCGGUAUGAGGUAGAGCUUCCUGGACACAGUCUGGAGAUGAUCCUAUUGAGAUGGAGCCUAGAUGAGCUCCUGCUUUUCCCAUUCUCUCUUUUUCUUGCCCUCCUGGUUUUGACCCUUGCUUGUCCUGACUCUGAGCCCGCCUGCCUGACCACUCUGCCUGCCCCUGAGCCUGCCUGCUGAACUGUACCUUUGCCCCACCUCUGGAUUAUCGACCUCUGCCUAACCUGAGCCUGCCUGCCGUCCAGUACUAUUGCCC